Cygnus olor (mute swan) is the source of this 2574-nucleotide long non-coding RNA. RefSeq lists it as uncharacterized. The record is from RefSeq and is a predicted model, not a curated record. NCBI's taxonomy places the organism in Eukaryota, Metazoa, Chordata, Aves, Anseriformes, Anatidae. The transcript is spliced from 3 exons.
CUCAGAGUCUGACAUCCUACAUCAUGUGGGCUGUGGUGUUUCUAAUUGAGAUUAUAACUUGCUUAGUUAAAGUUUAUCUUCCUGAAAAAGAGUCAAUGUGGGGAUUUCAAGAAAUAGCGCGUAUGCCCCCUGCUACCCCCUGUUUUGAUGUAAUUAUCAAUCGCCUCGUGGUUAAAUGUUUGAACCUGAUUUUUCAUUUUAACUUGUCAGCUUUCCAGCAUGACGUUGCUGUUUUUUUCUCUUCUGAGUCAGUUUGGUACUGUCUGAAUGGAUUUAGUCAGUCAUUUACCUUUGUCUCUUCCCUCUUAUAAACGAGAAACACCGGGGCCUUACAGGAGUGACACUAAUAGGGUAAGAAAAGUUUAAAAAGCUGAACGUGUGUUUUCUGCGAUCGUGUUCCCUGUGCAUCAUAAGGGAAGUAGCCACAGCAUCCCAUAUACCUAAAUACAGAAAAACAAAUGACAAUCUGUGAUGUUUUUUCUCAGAAAUCAGCAAGUAUAUCUAUCAUUCUAGUUAUCCCAGUGUUCAAGAAGCUCUCUCUGCUUUCUCAGACCUUCAGGUAAUGUUUGCAACCCCUGCCUUGCCUCCAUCUUCCUUGCCUUCGUGGGUGUCAAAGCGCAGUCUUCCUCACUCGUGCCUCCUCUCUCCAGGAAGCGAAAGGCAUUGAGAGCUUCCAGGAUAAAGCAGCUCUGACUCUUUGGUGUCACUUCUUACCACUUCCAUUGCAAGUUAGGAAAAAAAGGUCAAGUUUGUAAUGGAGCUGAGUAGUUUGUAGUAGAAACGCAGCGGGGCUCCGAAUCUCUGAGCUCUACCACGUGUCCUGCAGCCUGGGUAAAGGAGCAGGCUGCGUGGGACAAGCAGUCAUCCCAGCGUGGCUGCUGUGAGCUGCCUGUUGUACAGUGGAGCUGUUGCUCUGAUCCCAGCCGCCUGGUGAAGUUGCAGAUUUCACCAGCAGCCUCGUGUCUGAUCUCAGAGCGUAAAAACAGACUGGAGUUUGUGUCGGUUCCCAUUUCUCUUGGAAGAGCUGCCUCUACGGACAUCCUGUCAGGAGUAAUGUGUGGGCAUGUAUGUGCGUGCGCGCAAGAUGCAGUGACAUGGACCAUCUUGCAGAUCAUGUCUCAAUGGAUAACCUGGGGAACAGAAAUAGUCCAACAUCAUCCUGGAAACUAGCAGCAGUGGUACAAUAAGAAACAAAGUCUUCUAAGUUUUCCCUGUGGUUAUCUGUCCAGUUUGAAGUGCAUUGAGCUUUGCCUGAUGUGCAAGCAGUAAUAAGCGUUAUCCUCCUGUCUUUGCAUGCACUCUUGGUGGUAAGAGUUGAAAACUGCUGCAUGAAGAAACAUCUUCUAAAUGCCAUUCUGCUGUUCUGCUGGGAAGAAAUACACAGUCCCGUACGCAAAGAUUCAAUUCACUUACAGAUGGAACCUACCAUUACAGAGAGGCACCGUCAACUCAAAAUCCAAUGAAAUGCACGGACAGAUUUAAAGUUGAGUCUCCUACAACUUCUGUUGAGUGUCCCCAGCAGUCCUCGUGAAUUGUGUUUGCUUGGCUUUAAAUUCCUGUCACGUGGUAAAAUUGACAUAAACAAAAAGAGGCUUGAGUAUGGCUUAUUACGCAGAGCUGUGCUAAUUUACAAGGUGUUUGUUGAAUGAGAGAUAUCAUACCUUCUGAGUAUGGGAAGGAAAAGUGAAGUGGUUAUAUGCAAAAAAAAAUAUCUAAAGAUAGAAGGUAAACAGUUAUGGAAAAGAUGGGUGAUGGGAGUAGAGUGAAGCCUGGGAUCUUACCUUCAAAUUUCAGUUAAUCUAGGUCAUUUUCUGUAACAGAAGGAUAAUAUCUAAAUACAGAUAUGAUUAAGUCAGUGUGGUUCCCUACCACAAUGCGUACCACGUCCAAGUCUACAUCGACAGCAAAGAACGAGAUUAAAGGUUUCCAGUAUAUGUGGUGAAUUUCAGUCCAGGCACAACAGUAUUAUUUUUUCAGGAUUUUUCCCUCAUAAGUUGAUACAACAUUGUAAAUAGCACACUACGUAUUGUUUGGAAAGAGCUCAGAAGGCCAUCUGAUCAGAACUGUCACAGUAAUUUUAUCACCCUUCUUUCAGCAUUUUCUCAGUUUUCUCUUCUAUAUUCCUCAGCACAGAAGCAUGUUAUUUUGCUGAUUUUAUACAGAUUUGAAUGUACUCUACGUUGGCCUUGUUAAGCGAGUUUAAAAGAAAAGAACCAUUCACAUGUUCUGCUCUGGACUUUCCCAUUUAGAACUGUAACCUGAAUUUUUAUACAAGUCUGCUAUAGUCAUGUUUACUGGUCGCCUCUAGGUCUUGAUGCUUCUUGCUUAUUUGUUUCUUACAUAGGUGGCUGGGAGCAGAUAUCGCCUUUAAAAUGUAAGGAUACAGCUGUCAUGGUUUUAAAAAAGUACUGUUAACUAACAUGCCUGCGCUAAUAUUGUAUAUCCAGUAUAUAUACAAUAUAUGUGUUUAUAGAUAGUGAUGUAAGGCGCUAUACAUCAAAUUGAAAUAAGCAGCAUUGGUUCACAUAUUUUUAUGGUGAUGGAAAUGCACUUACAGUAAAUGCCAAGCACAUU